RNAcentral lists this transfer RNA (86 nucleotides) under bovine gut metagenome. It matches the Rfam family "tRNA". Rfam says of the family: Transfer RNA (tRNA) molecules are approximately 80 nucleotides in length. Their secondary structure includes four short double-helical elements and three loops (D, anti-codon, and T loops). Further hydrogen bonds mediate the characteristic L-shaped molecular structure. tRNAs have two regions of fundamental functional importance: the anti-codon, which is responsible for specific mRNA codon recognition, and the 3' end, to which the tRNAs corresponding amino acid is attached (by aminoacyl-tRNA synthetases). tRNAs cope with the degeneracy of the genetic code in two manners: having more than one tRNA (with a specific anti-codon) for a particular amino acid; and 'wobble' base-pairing, i.e. permitting non-standard base-pairing at the 3rd anti-codon position. The record is from RNAcentral.
GAGAGAUGGCUGAGCGGCCUAAGGCACCUGACUCGAAAUCAGGCGAUCGUGUUGAGCGGUCCGUGGGUUCAAAUCCCACUCUCUCC